UUUAGUGUCCCGGCGCUUUCGGACUCACCUUCCUCCUGCACGCAUUUGUAUGUUUCAGGACUUGGUGAUCUUUGAGGAUGUGGCUGUGGACUUCACCCUGGAGGAGUGGGCUUUGCUGGAUUCUAUGCAGAAGAACCUCUACAGAGAUGUGAUGCUGGAAACUUUCCAGAAUCUGGUCUCAGUGGAUUAUGAAACACUGUUUAAAGCCAGUGGUUUCUCAACAGGAUGCGCUUGAGAAAAAAAAUCUAUUGAACAGAAGAUGGCAAAAUUCACAAGAAAUCAUUCUUGUGCCUACAUUUUAGAAAAAAAUUGGGACGAUGACUGCAGUAAAGAUCAACAUGGAAAGCAUGCAAGACAUCAGAGAAAUCCUGCAACAGACAGAUUCUGUGAAAGUAAAGAAAGAAAGAAAACACAGAGAAGCUUGCAGCCAGCUUCC
This is a long non-coding RNA of Enhydra lutris kenyoni (northern sea otter), 436 nucleotides long. RefSeq lists it as uncharacterized. The record is from RefSeq and is a predicted model, not a curated record. NCBI's taxonomy places the organism in Eukaryota, Metazoa, Chordata, Mammalia, Carnivora, Mustelidae. The transcript has 3 exons.